GAUUAAGCCAUGCAUGUGUAAGUAUAAAUAGUUAACUUUGAAACUGCGAAUGGCUCUUUAUAUCAGUUAUAGUUUAUUUGAUGAAGAAUACUAAUUGGAUAACCGUAGUAAUUCUAGAGCUAAUACAUGUAUAAAGUCUUGUAGACUGCAUUUAUUAGAAUGAAAACCAUAGGUUUCGGCCUAUUCGUGAGUAAUAAUAACUAAUCAUAUCGUAUGCUUAAGUAACGAUGUGUCUUUCAAGUUUCUGCCCUAUCAGCUUUCGAUGGUAGUGUAUUGGACUACCAUG
This 286-nucleotide ribosomal RNA is filed under the name Blastocystis hominis. RNAcentral describes it as "partial 18S ribosomal RNA". It matches the Rfam family "Eukaryotic small subunit ribosomal RNA", at positions 42 to 348 of the family's 1831-position model. The record is from RNAcentral. Lineage: Eukaryota; Bigyra; Opalinata; Blastocystidae.